GACGAACGCUGGCGGCGUGCCUAAUACAUGCAAGUCGAACGCACAGUUUAUACCGUAGCUUGCUACACCAUAGACUGUGAGUUGCGAACGGGUGAGUAACGCGUAGGUAACCUGCCUGGUAGCGGGGGAUAACUAUUGGAAACGAUAGCUAAUACCGCAUAAUAUUAAUUAUUGCAUGAUAAUUAAUUGAAAGGUGCAAUUGCACCACUACCAGAUGGACCUGCGUUGUAUUAGCUAGUAGGUGAGGUAACGGCUCACCUAGGCGACGAUACAUAGCCGACCUGAGAGGGUGAUCGGCCACACUGGGACUGAGACACGGCCCAGACUCCUACGGGAGGCAGCAGUAGGGAAUCUUCGGCAAUGGACGAAAGUCUGACCGAGCAACGCCGCGGGAGUGAAGAAGGGUUUCGGAUCGGAAAGCUCUGUUGUAAGAGAAGAACGGGUGUGAGAGUGGAAAGUUCACACUGUGACGGUAUCUUAACAGAAAGGGACGGCUAACUACGUG
Molecule: ribosomal RNA, 505 nt
Filed under: uncultured bacterium
Lineage: Bacteria
Description: partial 16S ribosomal RNA
Rfam family: Bacterial small subunit ribosomal RNA
Source: RNAcentral